RNAcentral lists this ribosomal RNA (514 nucleotides) under Planomicrobium sp. AP8H9. RNAcentral's name for it is "bacterial SSU rRNA". It matches the Rfam family "Bacterial small subunit ribosomal RNA", at positions 356 to 862 of the family's 1533-position model. Lineage: Bacteria; Bacillati; Bacillota; Bacilli; Caryophanales; Caryophanaceae. The record is from RNAcentral.
AGGGAAUCUUCCGCAAUGGACGCAAGUCUGACGGAGCAACGCCGCGUGAGUGACGAAGGUUUUCGGAUCGUAAAACUCUGUUGUGAGGGAAGAACAAGUACCAACUAACUACUGGUACCUUGACGGUACCUCACCAGAAAGCCACGGCUAACUACGUGCCAGCAGCCGCGGUAAUACGUAGGUGGCAAGCGUUGUCCGGAAUUAUUGGGCGUAAAGCGCGCGCAGGCGGUCCCUUAAGUCUGAUGUGAAAGCCCACGGCUCAACCGUGGAGGGUCAUUGGAAACUGGGGGACUUGAGUGCAGAAGAGGAAAGUGGAAUUCCACGUGUAGCGGUGAAAUGCGUAGAGAUGUGGAGGAACACCAGUGGCGAAGGCGACUUUCUGGUCUGUAACUGACGCUGAGGCGCGAAAGCGUGGGGAGCAAACAGGAUUAGAUACCCUGGUAGUCCACGCCGUAAACGAUGAGUGCUAAGUGUUAGGGGGUUUCCGCCCCUUAGUGCUGCAGCUAACGCAUAA